GAACCUGUGCACUGUUUAUGAGAAGCAUUGAAUCAGCAUGGAGGAAGCCUGGCAAUGAGGGUUCAGUUUCAUCAAGGCAAGGUGUACAGGGGCUUAGAUGCACCUUAGAGCUUCCUCGAAACACCUUGGGCUCUGUCCUAUAUACGUCGAUUGAUGGAGCCAUUAAGACCCGAAUGGACGAACAGUAAUGAUUCCACUUGGACCGAUCCAAUUUCAAUGACAUUGUCUCAUACAAUUCCAUUAACAUUGGAGCUGUUACCACCUCGGUGACAGAUUAUUAUUUCUUUUAAAAAAGGAAAAGGAAAUUAACACAAUAUAUUGAAUUGCACUGAAUUGAGACAAUAAAUAAUGGAAUGUACCAGA
Molecule: long non-coding RNA, 363 nt
Organism: Pogoniulus pusillus (Red-fronted tinkerbird)
Lineage: Eukaryota; Metazoa; Chordata; Aves; Piciformes; Lybiidae
Exons: 2
Source: RefSeq, a predicted model, not a curated record